Molecule: ribosomal RNA, 254 nt
Filed under: uncultured bacterium
Lineage: Bacteria
Description: partial 16S ribosomal RNA
Rfam family: Bacterial small subunit ribosomal RNA
Source: RNAcentral
UACGUAGGGUGCGAGCGUUGUCCGGAAUUAUUGGGCGUAAAGGGCUCGUAGGCGGUUUGUCGCGUCGGGAGUGAAAACCUGGGGCUUAACUCUGGGCGUGCGGUCGAUACGGGCAUCACUAGAGUUCGGCAGGGGAGACUGGAAUUCCUGGUGUAGCGGUGAAAUGCGCAGAUAUCAGGAGGAACACCGGUGGCGAAGGCGGGUCUCUGGGCCGAUACUGACGCUGAGGAGCGAAAGCAUGGGUAGCGAACAGG